This 253-nucleotide ribosomal RNA is filed under the name uncultured bacterium. Its description in RNAcentral is "partial 16S ribosomal RNA". It matches the Rfam family "Bacterial small subunit ribosomal RNA", at positions 524 to 776 of the family's 1533-position model. The record is from RNAcentral.
UACGGGGGGAGCAAACGUUGUUCGGAAUCACUGGGCUUAAAGGGCGUGUAGGCGGCUGAAUAAGUGGGAUGUUAAAUCCCCCGGCUCAACCGGGGACCUGCAUCUCAUACUGUUCAGCUCGAGCACAUCAGAGGAGACUGGAAUUCCAGGUGUAGCGGUGAAAUGCGUAGAUAUCUGGAGGAACACCGGUGGCGAAGGCGGCGUCCUGGACCAAUACUGACACUGAUGAGCGAAAGCCAGGGGAGCAAACGGG